UAAACAGCGGAGGUCAUUAGUGGGGAGGACGAGUAGUUAGAAGCCUGAAUGGAUUCGGUGACGAUGGCAGUUGGGACAAAUCCGAAGUAUUAAGGAGGCAGAAUCCAUUGGCUUCAGUAAUAAUUCGAAACUGGGUGACUUGUGAAGGGGAAGAAGAUGUCAAGAGUGACUUCAGAUUUGCUGACCCGGAGGCUGGAGAAGUCCAGCCAGGCCCCCACGGUGCCAUUAUUUUCCAACUUUCGCAACACAGGCCACUGUCCCCUUUAGGUCUCUGCUUCCACUUCUCGGAACAGGAAAGUUGAUCUAGAGAAGUGACUUUCUAAUUAUAGUCCCCAGGGCCAUCCUGCUGGUGUGGCUGGGCCUCAGGGAGAGAGCCCAGGGCUGGAGACAGAAGGUUUAGCUGUGCCUUAGCUCUGCCUGUGAGCUAGGACAGUAGACAGGACACUGUUUCUGAACCUGAGCCUUCAUUUGUCUAAAUGGAGAUAAUGUAUUCAUUUACUCAAUAAACAAACAUUCUGGGCAAAAGAUAAAAAGAAUGGGACUUGCUCACAGCUCGGGAGGAGGAGCAGACAUAUAAACAAUUAUAAAGGAGCUCGGUGAGCCCCUGAGGGAUUCUUCGGAAAGCAAGACUUGGAUCAACACCGUGCUAUUAACACUCAGCCUACAGAGAGGCGGGCUAGCUUGACAUCGAGGGUGGAUGCGCCAGUGGUGGGCUUCCAGGCACCAAAGACAGGCCUUACUCCAAAUUCUACAAGCUAGUACCAACCUAUCUAGACUAUGUACUGCAGGUUCUAGAGGGCAGAUACUGCACUUAGUUCAUAGUUGUAUCUCCAAUGCCUACGCCAUGCCUGGCACAUGGCAGGUGACAAGUAACUGUGUAUGGAGUGAAUAAAGCUCCACAGAAUCUUUC
Long non-coding RNA from Neofelis nebulosa (Clouded leopard), 910 nucleotides. RefSeq lists it as uncharacterized. The record is from RefSeq and is a predicted model, not a curated record. NCBI's taxonomy places the organism in Eukaryota, Metazoa, Chordata, Mammalia, Carnivora, Felidae. The transcript has 2 exons.